This 1378-nucleotide ribosomal RNA is filed under the name uncultured bacterium. RNAcentral's name for it is "partial 16S ribosomal RNA". It matches the Rfam family "Bacterial small subunit ribosomal RNA", at positions 28 to 1382 of the family's 1533-position model. The record is from RNAcentral.
GAUGAACGCUGGCGGCGUGCCUAAUACAUGCAAGUCGAGCGAACGGACGAGAAGCUUGCUUCUCUGAUGUUAGCGGCGGACGGGUGAGUAACACGUGGAUAACCUACCUAUAAGACUGGGAUAACUUCGGGAAACCGGAGCUAAUACCGGAUAAUAUUUUGAACCGCAUGGUUCAAAAGUGAAAGACGGUCUUGCUGUCACUUAUAGAUGGAUCCGCGCUGCAUUAGCUAGUUGGUAAGGUAACGGCUUACCAAGGCAACGAUGCAUAGCCGACCUGAGAGGGUGAUCGGCCACACUGGAACUGAGACACGGUCCAGACUCCUACGGGAGGCAGCAGUAGGGAAUCUUCCGCAAUGGGCGAAAGCCUGACGGAGCAACGCCGCGUGAGUGAUGAAGGUCUUCGGAUCGUAAAACUCUGUUAUUAGGGAAGAACAUAUGUGUAAGUAACUGUGCACAUCUUGACGGUACCUAAUCAGAAAGCCACGGCUAACUACGUGCCAGCAGCCGCGGUAAUACGUAGGUGGCAAGCGUUAUCCGGAAUUAUUGGGCGUAAAGCGCGCGUAGGCGGUUUUUUAAGUCUGAUGUGAAAGCCCACGGCUCAACCGUGGAGGGUCAUUGGAAACUGGAAAACUUGAGUGCAGAAGAGGAAAGUGGAAUUCCAUGUGUAGCGGUGAAAUGCGCAGAGAUAUGGAGGAACACCAGUGGCGAAGGCGACUUUCUGGUCUGUAACUGACGCUGAUGUGCGAAAGCGUGGGGAUCAAACAGGAUUAGAUACCCUGGUAGUCCACCCCAUAAACGAUGAGUGCUAAGUGUUAGGGGGUCUCCCCCCCUUUGCGCUUCACUUAACCUUAUUACACUCUCUCCUCUGGGGAGAAACACCUCAAGGUGUAAAACUCAAAGAGUUUGACGGGGACCCGCACAACCGGUGGAGAGUGUGUUUUUUUUCUAAACAACGCGAAAAACCUUCCCAAUCCUUGACGCCUUUGGACGACUCCUAAAUAUAAGCCUCCCCCCUCGGGGGACAAAGAAAAAGAGGGGGCAUGGUUGUCUCCCCCCCGUUCCGGGAAAGUUUGGUUUAAUCCCCCCACCGAACGCAACCCUUAUGCUUAUUUGCCUUCUUAAAUUUGGGCCCCCUCAUUUAACUGCCGGGGACAACCCGUAGAAAGGGGGGGAUAAGCUCAAAUCUCCUGGCCCCUUCUAAUUUGGGCUACACCCUGGCUACAUGGGAGAAUACAAUGGGCGUGCAAACCCGCCGGGCCACGCAAACCCCCCAAAGUUGUUCUCACUUCGAAUGGAUAUCGGCAAUUCUACUACCUAAACCUGGAAUCCCCUGCUAUUCUAGAUUAAACUUGCUCCGGUCAAUACUUUCCCCGGUUCU